GUGAAAUCUUAAAGCAAACAAACAAACAACAACAACAACAAAACCCCAAGAAGCUCAUAGAAACAAAGAAUAGGAUUUACAGUCUGGUUUUGGGAGACUGUGUGUCACAUGAAAAGGCUGCUGCAUCCAGACAGAUGUAGAUUCAAAUCCUGACUCGACCAUUAACAGCAGCACUAUGGACAAGCGACUUAUCCUCUCUAUACCUCAUGCAUAAGAAUGGGCAUAACAACAAUACCUGGCUUAUCAAGCUUCUGCAAAGUGAAGGUCCAUCUUGGGACCAUGAAGGGAAAACCAAGGAAAUGGAAGAUAAGGUGAUUCAGAGCAUGGACAUCAUUGAGCUGCUUGAUUAACUGACUCUGGAACCACCACCGUAGCUGCAGGCAUUUUGUCAUGUGAUUUAAUAAAUGUCUUUAUUCUUUUUC
Molecule: long non-coding RNA, 422 nt
Organism: Suricata suricatta (meerkat)
Lineage: Eukaryota; Metazoa; Chordata; Mammalia; Carnivora; Herpestidae
Exons: 2
Source: RefSeq, a predicted model, not a curated record